CAGAGUUAAGUUAGGGUUUUUCAAAAUGCUGACACGCCGAGCUCAAAAGGUUCACCAUCACUGGUCUAGGGGAUGGUGGCAGGACCCAGAAGUUGACCUGGGCUAAGAUGUUUAUUUUGGGUAUUCCUAGACUUAAAUAUCUCAAAUUACAUUUUAAGUCCUUCUGCUGCUCUGUAACCACUUAAUUAUCCUGCAAGUAAGGGGGGCCCGAAUAGAAAAACUGGAGGACAUUCUCAUUUAAGUCCCACCUUUCAACCAACCACAAAUCUUCUCUGGCUCGCUCCCUCCCCUCCCAUUUCUGCUUCUAGGCUCAGGAAGGAAGAUCAGCAGAUCUUGGCAACAGGCCAGGUGACCCCGGGACAAGAGAGUCCUCUCUAGGAUCUGGAAAUUUGUUCCCUGCAUGUGGGUUGCACAUGGAAGCGUUGUCUCUGCCUUUUUCAAAGGGUCCAUCUAUGCUGUUGCAAAAGGCAAAGACCGUGUCUCUUAAGCCGAGAAAGCAGAACGAGAAUCUUCCCUGUCCUCCUAGCAUCCAGAUGGGGCUCCAGGAGGGUUGUGGCGCCCAGGCAGCCUCUUCCACGCAAGUCCCAGUCAUGCUGACAUGCAAGCCUGUCUGCAGUGUCGCUGAGCCAGCUGUUGUUCCCUCCACCCAGUAGCCAUCCUGAUGAGUGUGAACCUGUUCUUUAUCAGGAGGCUGUAUUUCUGGAACGGCUUAGCGUGAUCUCUAAUUAUCCACUGGAAUUGAGCAAUGGGGAAAGCAGGGCACCAUGCUUCGGGCAGAUGACCUGGUAACCUCGACAGAGAGCUAUCCUCAUUCUGUCCUUGACUUUGUGACUCUGGGCAAGUUGCGCCACCUCCGAGUUUCCACCGCCCACUGGGGACCGGGCCUUCUCGACGACAGUCUCCUCCCUCCUCUGCCCUGAUGUUUCUUCCUGGAAAAGACAGGAAGCGAGAGAUGGGAAAUGACUUGUUAGGUAUGCGUCUUAAUCUCAGUAGCCAUCACCCCAGUGAUUAUUUUUUUUCUUUCUGUUAUAACAAUAAUUCAUGCUUAGUUUUUGAAAGUAAGAUAACUCAGAAAAGCAUGAGAAGCAAGGAAGUAUUUGUCUAUUAUUUUGUCACCCGGAGGCAACCACUGAUAACAUUGUGGCCUGUUUCUUGUAGUUUGUUUUUUAAGUGAGGCAGACUUUUCUCAUCCUUGAGAGUCCCUCUUUCUCUAAAGAAGAACUCCUUUCACAGCAGUCGGUAACAAAAUUAACUGAGCUCUCAAUUUCUUAAAUAUAUCUUUCUUUGUGCUAUUCACUCCUUCGGUGUGUCACUGUGAGUGAAAAGCCAUUAAUUACAGUGGAAAUGCUGCUUGGAGACAGCUUAUGAAAUUAUGUUAAUAUGUAUUGAGAGAAAGAAAGGAAGGGGAAAGGGAGCUGAUGGGCAAAACAACCAGCCCAUUUAAAUGGAUAAUUUUCUCUCCUUUCAAGUUUCAGAGUUGAGGGUCACUAUAUUUCUGAAAGGACUAGAAAGCGAUGAUUGUAGUUUUAUUUUGUCAAAAUCAGUAAAACUCGACUGAAAAGCAAAGUUGAUAAACUAGCAAAAAGAAUGACUUUGGUAAAUGUAAUGUAAAACUUUUUUUAACACACAUAUAUCGGUUCAGGAAAAAAGAAAUUUUCAUGAGAAUCUGCAGAUUUAUAGGUGGAGUGUGGAGAGCUCUAAGUGUAAAAGGCAACCUCCUAAGGAUUUCUGGCCUGGGGAAACGAUGUUUGGAGAUGCUUCACCUGGCAUUGUCUAAAGCAAGCAUGUCAAACUCAAAGGCUAACACGGGCCAAAUUAACGAGGCAUGAGGCCCACCGGCUGUGAGUUUGACAUGCUUGGUCUAAAGCAGGGGUGGACAAACUUUUUGACUCGAGGGCCACAAUGGGUUCUUAAACUGGACCGGAGGGCCGGAACAAAAGCAU
Myotis myotis is the source of this 1943-nucleotide long non-coding RNA. RefSeq lists it as uncharacterized. The record is from RefSeq and is a predicted model, not a curated record. NCBI's taxonomy places the organism in Eukaryota, Metazoa, Chordata, Mammalia, Chiroptera, Vespertilionidae. The transcript is spliced from 3 exons.